CUGCGAAUACCGGAGAAUGUUAUCACGGGAGACACACGGCGGGUGCUAACGUCCGUCGUGAAGAGGGAAACAACCCAGACCGCCAGCUAAGGUCCCAAAGUCAUGGUUAAGUGGGAAACGAUGUGGGAAGGCCCAGACAGCCAGGAUGUUGGCUUAGAAGCAGCCAUCAUUUAAAGAAAGCGUAAUAGCUCACUGGUCGAGUCGGCCUGCGCGGAAGAUGUAACGGGGCUAAACCAUGCACCGAAGCUGCGGCAGCGAACGUAUCACCCAAGACAACUUUACGGAGUUGACGAUUGACGGAGCGAAGCGACGUCAAAGCGUUCAUUAAAGUCGAGUUGGCUUAGGGAUACGUUCGUUGGGUAGGGGAGCGUUCUGUAAGCCUGUGAAGGUGGCCUGUGAGGGUUGCUGGAGGUAUCAGAAGUGCGAAUGCUGACAUAAGUAACGAUAAAGCGGGUGAAAAGCCCGCUCGCCGGAAGACCAAGGGUUCCUGUCCAACGUUAAUCGGGGCAGGGUGAGUCGACCCCUAAGGCGAGGCCGAAAGGCGUAGUCGAUGGGAAACGGGUUAAUAUUCCCGUACUUGGUGUUACUGCGAAGGGGGGACGGAGAAGGCUAUGUUGGCCGGGCGACGGUUGUCCCGGUUUAAGCGUGUAGGUGUGUGUUCCAGGUAAAUCCGGUUCACUUUAACACUGAGGCGUGAUGACGAGGCACUACGGUGCUGAAGCAACAAAUGCCCUGCUUCCAGGAAAAGCCUCUAAGCAUCAGGUAACAUCAAAUCGUACCCCAAACCGACACAGGUGGUCAGGUAGAGAAUACCAAGGCGCUUGAGAGAACUCGGGUGAAGGAACUAGGCAAAAUGGUGCCGUAACUUCGGGAGAAGGCACGCUGACACGUAGGUGAAGUGAUUUACUCA
This 910-nucleotide ribosomal RNA is filed under the name Salmonella enterica. Its description in RNAcentral is "partial 23S ribosomal RNA". It matches the Rfam family "Bacterial large subunit ribosomal RNA", at positions 954 to 1772 of the family's 2925-position model. The record is from RNAcentral. Lineage: Bacteria; Pseudomonadati; Pseudomonadota; Gammaproteobacteria; Enterobacterales; Enterobacteriaceae.